UACGGAGGAUGCAAGCGUUAUCCGGAAUGAUUGGGCGUAAAGCGUCCGCAGGUGGCUGUGUAAGUCUGCUGUUAAAGAGUGAGGCUCAACCUCAUAAAGGCAGUGGAAACUACAUGGCUAGAGUGCGUUUGGGGCAGAGGGAAUUCCUGGUGUAGCGGUGAAAUGCGUAGAGAUCAGGAAGAACACCGGUGGCGAAAGCGCUCUGCUAGGCCGCAACUGACACUGAGGGACGAAAGCUAGGGGAGCGAAUGGG
RNAcentral lists this ribosomal RNA (253 nucleotides) under uncultured bacterium. RNAcentral describes it as "partial 16S ribosomal RNA". It matches the Rfam family "Bacterial small subunit ribosomal RNA", at positions 524 to 776 of the family's 1533-position model. The record is from RNAcentral.